AGGGGUGAAGCUCAAACGGAUUGAGCGGCGUUUUGCCGAAGCGCUGGUUACGGGUUCGAAUCCCGUCACCCCUA
RNAcentral lists this transfer RNA (74 nucleotides) under Desulfurellaceae bacterium. RNAcentral's name for it is "tRNA-Gly". It matches the Rfam family "tRNA". From Rfam's summary of the family: Transfer RNA (tRNA) molecules are approximately 80 nucleotides in length. Their secondary structure includes four short double-helical elements and three loops (D, anti-codon, and T loops). The record is from RNAcentral. Lineage: Bacteria; Pseudomonadati; Campylobacterota; Desulfurellia; Desulfurellales; Desulfurellaceae.